RNAcentral lists this ribosomal RNA (281 nucleotides) under uncultured bacterium. Its description in RNAcentral is "partial 16S ribosomal RNA". It matches the Rfam family "Bacterial small subunit ribosomal RNA", at positions 28 to 309 of the family's 1533-position model. The record is from RNAcentral.
GACGAACGCUGGCGGCGUGCUUAACACAUGCAAGUCGAGCGGUAAGGCCCUUUCGGGGGUACGACGAGCGGCGAACGGGUGAGUAACACGUGGGUGACCUGCCCUCAGCUCUGGGAUAAGCCUGGGAAACCGGGUCUAAUACUGGAUAUGACUCCAUGACGCAUGUUGUGGGGUGGAAAGCCUUGUGCGGCUGAGGAUGGGCCCGCGGCCUAUCAGCUUGUUGGUGGGGUGAUGGCCUACCAAGGCGACGACGGGUAGCCGGCCUGAGAGGGCGACCGGCC